This 629-nucleotide ribosomal RNA is filed under the name uncultured Alphaproteobacteria bacterium. RNAcentral's name for it is "bacterial SSU rRNA". It matches the Rfam family "Bacterial small subunit ribosomal RNA", at positions 8 to 684 of the family's 1533-position model. The record is from RNAcentral. Lineage: Bacteria; Pseudomonadati; Pseudomonadota; Alphaproteobacteria.
AGAGUUUGAUCCUGGCUCAGAACGAACGCUGGCGGCAGGCCUAACACAUGCAAGUCGAACGAAGCCUUCGGGUUUAGUGGCGGACGGGUGAGUAACGCGUGGGAACGUGCCCUUCUCUACGGAAUAGUCCUGGGAAACUGGGUUUAAUACCGUAUACGCCCUUCGGGGGAAAGAAUUUCGGGGAAGGAUCGGCCCGCGUUGGAUUAGGUAGUUGGUGGGGUAAUGGCCCACCAAGCCGACGAUCCAUAGCUGGUUUGAGAGGAUGAUCAGCCACACUGGGACUGAGACACGGCCCAGACUCCUACGGGAGGCAGCAGUGGGGAAUCUUAGACAAUGGGGGCAACCCUGAUCUAGCCAUGCCGCGUGAGUGACGAAGGCCCUAGGGUCGUAAAGCUCUUUCGCCAGGGAUGAUAAUGACAGUACCUGGUAAAGAAACCCCGGCUAACUCCGUGCCAGCAGCCGCGGUAAUACGGAGGGGGUUAGCGUUGUUCGGAAUUACUGGGCGUAAAGCGCGCGUAGGCGGACUAUUAAGUCAGAGGUGAAAUCCCGGGGCUCAACCCCGGAACUGCCUUUGAUACUGGUAGUCUUGAGUUCGAGAGAGGUGAGUGGAAUUCCGAGUGUAAAGGUGA